GACGAACGCUGGCGGCGUGCUUAACACAUGCAAGUCGAACGGAAAGGCCCUGCUUUUGUGGGGUGCUCGAGUGGCGAACGGGUGAGUAACACGUGAGUAACCUGCCCUUGACUUUGGGAUAACUUCAGGAAACUGGGGCUAAUACCGGAUAGGAGCUCCUGCUGCAUGGUGGGGGUUGGAAAGUUUCGGCGGUUGGGGAUGGACUCGCGGCUUAUCAGCUUGUUGGUGGGGUAGUGGCUUACCAAGGCUUUGACGGGUAGCCGGCCUGAGAGGGUGACCGGCCACAUUGGGACUGAGAUACGGCCCAGACUCCUACGGGAGGCAACAGUGGGGAAUAUUGCACAAUGGGCGGAAGCCUGAUGCAGCAACGCCGCGUGCGGGAUGACGGCCUUCGGGUUGUAAACCGCUUUCGCCUGUGACGAAGCGUGAGUGACGGUAAUGGGUAAAGAAGCACCGGCUAACUACGUGCCAGCAGCCGCGGUGAUACGUAGGGUGCGAGCGUUGUCCGGAUUUAUUGGGCGUAAAGGGCUCGUAGGUGGUUGAUCGCGUCGGAAGUGUAAUCUUGGGGCUUAACCCUGAGCGUGCUUUCGAUACGGGUUGACUUGAGGAAGGUAGGGGAGAAUGGAAUUCCUGGUGGAGCGGUGGAAUGCGCAGAUAUCAGGAGGAACACCAGUGGCGAAGGCGGUUCUCUGGGCCUUUCCUGACGCUGAGGAGCGAAAGCGUGGGGAGCGAACAGGCUUAGAUACCCUGGUAGUCCACGCUGUAAACGGUGGGUACUAGGUGUGGGGUCCAUUCCACGGGUUCCGUGCCGUAGCUAACGCUUUAAGUACCCCGCCUGGGGAGUACGGCCGCAAGGCUAAAACUCAAAGGAAUUGACGGGGCCCCGCACAAGCGGCGGAGCAUGCGGAUUAAUUCGAUGCAACGCGUAGAACCUUACCUGGGUUUGACAUGGAUCGGGAGCGCUCAGAGAUGGGUGUGCCUCUUUUGGGGUCGGUUCACAGGUGGUGCAUGGCUGUCGUCAGCUCGUGUCGUGAGAUGUUGGGUUAAGUCCCGCAACGAGCGCAACCCUUGUUCACUGUUGCCAGCACGUUAUGGUGGGGACUCAGUGGAGACCGCCGGGGUCAACUCGGAGGAGGGUGGGGAUGGCGUCAAGUCAUCAUGCCCCUUAUGUCCAGGGCUUCACGCAUGCUACAAUGGCUGGUACAGAGAGUGGCGAGCCUGUGAGGGUGAGCGAAUCUCGGAAAGCCGGUCUCAGUUCGGAUUGGGGUCUGCAACUCGACCUCAUGAAGUCGGAGUCGCUAGUAAUCGCAGAUCAGCAACGCUGCGGUGAAUACGUUCCCGGGGCU
This 1346-nucleotide ribosomal RNA is filed under the name uncultured bacterium. RNAcentral's name for it is "bacterial SSU rRNA". It matches the Rfam family "Bacterial small subunit ribosomal RNA", at positions 28 to 1381 of the family's 1533-position model. The record is from RNAcentral.